Molecule: transfer RNA, 84 nt
Filed under: candidate division CPR3 bacterium
Lineage: Bacteria; candidate division CPR3
Description: tRNA-Leu
Rfam family: tRNA
About the family: Transfer RNA (tRNA) molecules are approximately 80 nucleotides in length. Their secondary structure includes four short double-helical elements and three loops (D, anti-codon, and T loops). Further hydrogen bonds mediate the characteristic L-shaped molecular structure. tRNAs have two regions of fundamental functional importance: the anti-codon, which is responsible for specific mRNA codon recognition, and the 3' end, to which the tRNAs corresponding amino acid is attached (by aminoacyl-tRNA synthetases). tRNAs cope with the degeneracy of the genetic code in two manners: having more than one tRNA (with a specific anti-codon) for a particular amino acid; and 'wobble' base-pairing, i.e. permitting non-standard base-pairing at the 3rd anti-codon position.
Source: RNAcentral
GCCGCCGUGGCGGAACUGGCAGACGCGCACGACUCAAAAUCGUGUUCUGGCAACAGAGUGUGAGUUCAACUCUCACCGGCGGCA